This 442-nucleotide ribosomal RNA is filed under the name uncultured Oscillibacter sp. RNAcentral's name for it is "bacterial SSU rRNA". It matches the Rfam family "Bacterial small subunit ribosomal RNA", at positions 338 to 795 of the family's 1533-position model. The record is from RNAcentral. Lineage: Bacteria; Bacillati; Bacillota; Clostridia; Eubacteriales; Oscillospiraceae.
CCUACGGGAGGCUGCAGUGGGGAAUAUUGGGCAAUGGACGCAAGUCUGACCCAGCAACGCCGCGUGAAGGAAGAAGGCUUUCGGGUUGUAAACUUCUUUUAACAGGGAAGAGAAGAAGACGGUACCUGUUGAAUAAGCCACGGCUAACUACGUGCCAGCAGCCGCGGUAAUACGUAGGUGGCAAGCGUUGUCCGGAUUUACUGGGUGUAAAGGGCGUGUAGCCGGGAAGGCAAGUCAGAUGUGAAAUCUGGAGGCUCAACCUCCAAACUGCAUUUGAAACUGCUUUUCUUGAGUAUCGGAGAGGUAAUCGGAAUUCCUUGUGUAGCGGUGAAAUGCGUAGAUAUAAGGAAGAACACCAGUGGCGAAGGCGGAUUACUGGACGACAACUGACGCUGAGGCGCGAAAGCGUGGGGAGCAAACAGGCUUAGAUACCCCUGUAGUC